RNAcentral lists this long non-coding RNA (333 nucleotides) under Salmo salar (Atlantic salmon). RNAcentral's name for it is "lncRNA (ENSSSAG00000104838.1)". Lineage: Eukaryota; Metazoa; Chordata; Actinopteri; Salmoniformes; Salmonidae. The record is from RNAcentral.
GAGAUACUGCCUGCCCAGGAGAGGAGGAGGAGGAGGAGGAGAGAUACUGACUGUCCAGGAGAGGAGGAGGAGGAGAGAUACUGACUGUCCAGGAGAGGAGGAGGAGGAGGAGGAGGAGGAGAGAUACUGACUGUCCAGGAGAGGAGGAGGAGGAGGAGGAGAGAUACUGACUGUCCAGGAGAGGAGGAGGAGGAGGAGGAGGAGGAGGAGAGAUACUGACUGACCAGGAGAGGAGGAGGAGGAGGAGGAGAGAUACUGACUGUCCAGGAGAGGAGGAGGAGGAGGAGGAGAGAUACUGACUGUCCAGGAGAGGAGGAGGAGGGAGAGAUACUG